CCAUCAUAUUAUAGAGACACUCUCGAAGGAUAUGGACGUGGCUAUAAAAGGGCAUGCUUGGAGGAGUCAUCCAGAGCAGGAGGCUCUUCUUUGAUUACCCUCGGGGAUGCUGAAGCCAGACAAUCUUCUCCAUUUCCUUGGGAAACCUUCAUGCCCAAACAUCUAGCCCAACCAUUCUGGGCGUCUAGUAUGCCACUGGAGGAUAAAGGAAGGCAUUCUUUUGUGAGCAGUCUCAUACCAUCCGUACCUAAGAUGAUUGUCCUGGAGAGACCGAGAGCCAAAUGUGAGCCGGAGAUCUCUUCUUGUAAGAAGAGACGAUGGCAGGGAAGCGCUUGCUUGUAGGCGAUCCCAUAGUGCUAAUAGAUGUCAAACAUCUUUUCUUGCAUCACAUUUUGGCGAUUGGUUUCUCUAGUCCGGAACAACAAAAUGAUGAAAACUUCCAAUGGCAAGGAAGGAGACAAUUUCUGAGAGAGAACCGAUGAAGAUCUAUUGAAAGUCAUCUUCAGCAGUUUUACCGUGGUAUAAAAAUUGUUAUUAUUUUCUUUCUUGGUUUUUUUUUGAAUGAGGGAGGAGUGUAAAAGCUAGAUUCUGAAUACUGAUGUAAAUGUUCCGAGCAAAGUUAGUGAUCAACUAGCAAGUAACCCGUGCUACGCAGCGGGCUCUAAUUAAAGUGAUUGUAAAAAAUGACUGAUAAAAACACAAUAAUAAUCAGAA
Molecule: long non-coding RNA, 714 nt
Filed under: Phoenix dactylifera (date palm)
Lineage: Eukaryota; Viridiplantae; Streptophyta; Magnoliopsida; Arecales; Arecaceae
Description: long non-coding RNA (PDAC_LNC008753)
Source: RNAcentral